This 3084-nucleotide long non-coding RNA is filed under the name Nicotiana tabacum (common tobacco). RNAcentral describes it as "long non-coding RNA (NTAB_LNC005404)". Lineage: Eukaryota; Viridiplantae; Streptophyta; Magnoliopsida; Solanales; Solanaceae. The record is from RNAcentral.
UUAUGUUUAUUUUAUUUUAAUUUAAUUUAAUUUUCACAUAUUAAAAAAGUAAUACUUCUCACUCACACCAAUUAGAAGUAUUUGGAACUUCCUCCCAUCGCUCUCUCACCCCCAAUUUCUCAAACCCUAUUUUAUGCAAUCUCCCUCUUUCCCGCUCACCAACCUAGACCAAAUCAUUGGCAUGUAUCGCCGGAUCAUCGUCGACUCCUUCUUAUCUCAUCUGAUGUUUUCCUUCCUUCCCCUCUUCUCGCCAUCGAGACUGUAGCGUCAAUAGGGAAGAAAUUACAAAGCUUCUGGUCUCCGGAUGCUUGCAAUGCGUUCUUUUGCCCUGUUGCGCCUUUGAUGAUGUCAAUUCCCAUCUCCAAACAAGGUUCAGCUAGGUCCUCUCUACUUCUCUAUGUUUUGAUUACUUAAUGUGGAUCUAGGGUUAUAUUGCGGGUUCACUUUUGCGCUAUCAAUAGUUGGUGGAUCUGUGCUUAGAUUGCUUUUUUAUUUAACAUUGUAUAUAUUUGUUGCUCUAAGGAAUGGUUUCAUUUGUGGUGGAAAUUUGGCUGACAAGCAAGAGUGUGUAUGCAAUUGAGGUUUUUUUGGUCUUUUAUUGUUAUAUCCUCUGAUAGAGCUAUGAAAUUGUAUUGGUCGAAGGAUUGGAUUCUUCUUUUGGAAUUGACUGUAGUAUCAUUUGGAGAAUCAUAGAAGGAAACUGGAUGAGAUUAGUAUGGUUGUGUACUCCUUUUUCAGUCUCUCUAUUUGUUUAAAAAACUUAGCGAAGGUAAAAGAGGCUAUCUGUUCAGCUAGUUUUCUAGAUAUUUUUUUGCUUGAGUAAAAUCGGUGUGUUUUUGGAGGUAAUGAGAUGAGCUGUAUGUAUGCUCGUUUUUAGGAAAAAAUUUCUUUUUAUCUUAAAGAAGAAAGACCUGCAAAAAUAAAAGAGGGUAAAGGAGCAAGGUGUGCUCUUACAUUUAGAUUAUAAUUUUAUUCUUAAAGGAGAUUGUAUAAAUAAUUGGUCUCUUUUAAGACAUUUGAGUAUCAAUCAUUUGAUAAAAAUUUGAUUUUAUUCCUUGGUUGAACAGAAUUUAUUAUUGAGAAACGGCGACAUGUGUUUUGCUACUUUCUUUUUUAAAGAUUCUGAGUUUAACUUGUUGAUCCUUCCUGAAUUGUUUGUGUAUUCAAAGAUAUAUUAGCAGGGAUAGAGGAGCAUAUGAACAGAGGAUUGUAUAGUGUCCUUACCUAAUUUGAAAUUGAGGCUUGGUUGAUAGAAUCAAGAGUUGUAUGUGUGUGGAGUGGUGUUUGGUUGUCAUUUACUCAUAUUGUAUAUUCUUGUGCAAGCUAUUGAAUUUUGUAGGUUGAAUAAUUGAGUUGUUCUACUUGAAUUAAUUUUAUUACCAUUUGCAAUGCUGUUGUAGUCUUUCUUUGCUUCAAACUAGGUAUUGCAAACUUGGCUGCAUGAAUUGUGUUUGGUGUUUGUGAGAAUUUUUUGCAUAGGCUAAGUUUGCUUGCCCAUAUUUCAAUAGGCUUUUAGGUAAAGACUUCUGUAUUGAUAAUAUCUCAUUACUAAUUCAGUCAUUUUUUUACCGUAAAAGAGAAAAAACUCAGUGAAUUUUUCUCUUUUUCAUUCUGCAUAUAUGGGAAUGCAAAUGAAAUAUUUUAUGAGCUUUUUUAUGAAGUUUUUGUAGCAUAUUUAAUUUGACUAGUAGUAGUUCUCCUGAGAUUUAACUACUAGAGUUAUUCGUAAUCAAGGUAGUACAUGGAGUAGUCUAGUUUUACUUUUUAAUUUUAUUAAACUUUUGAGUAAGCAAUCUUUUUUAAUAUAUGUUUAAUCUAAUGGGAUUGGACAAAUUUAGAGGUUCUAACUCAGAAAGGAUCUUCGUUUCUUGAUCAUGCAGGAGCCUGAGCCCAUGAGCUGGGAUAUUACACGAAAGGACUUGGUUCUUGCUUGCUAGACAUGUACAAAGAGGCCUAUGAAAAGUAUGUGGAACAUCAUAUUUCUUGUGCUUUACCUUCUUUUCUUAACUUUGUCGGCUGGGUCUUUGCAUAGUCAGUUUGAUUAUAAUUUACAACAUUUAUGAGAGUAUGACUUAGAUUGUUGGCUAUAAAAGCUCUUAUUAGUACAACCUUCUGAAGACAAGCACAAUAUUUCUUUUCUUGUUUCUACAUAUUAAUCUUUGUUUAGAUCAGUCAUACAAAUCUAAUUGAAGUUUGUCGACUUUCUAUAAUGAUUGUUACUGUCUAUAAUAAUGUGUUUCAAAUGCUUGGUAUAACUUUAAUGUUGAUGAAUCUACUACAAUGUGCACGUUAGAGAUGUAACAUGUAAAAUAAUCAGAUUACUGCUACAUUAACUGCCCUUAUGUCCUUGAUCUCUUUAUAGACAUGAAACUUGAGGAUAUAUUUGAUACUUAGUUGAGGUUCAAUAGUUUUCUUGAGGUGUGUGGAGAGAAAAUACUAUGACAUAAUCUCUAAUGUGAAUGUUACGUGUCCUACGGAAGGUAAAAGCAAUCUUUUCCUAUUCAAGGUGUUCACGCAUGAUUGAUGAUGAUGAACAUAUAUUGUAGAAGGCCAUAUGGUAAGUUUUAAUUUCUUAGUAUUUUGGUUUUAACAUUAUAGUAAUUGAACAGUUUGUCUUCUAUAUUUACUCUCUUGUAAAUGUAGUUUCAGUACAAAGGUUGUACUGUUUUUAACUUAUCAAGACUAUGAAUACAAAAGCAUGACGAAAUCUGAGCUGUGAACUAAAAUAAUAUAUGAACUACAUAUUAACUACAUCCAUGAGAUUUGUAAACUUGCUCUUCUUUGACUUUUGGACAGAAUAUCAUUGUUUGAACAAUUAAUACUUAUUUAUUGUCUCGUCUUUUUGCAGGCACCAGAUUUGUGGAUCUCCAUCGAUCGAGUCAGAAAGAUCAUUGUACAUGUGCCAAUUAGUAACCAGUGUUUAGAUCAACUAUGGUGUUAUUUUUGGGUCUUAUGUUGAAUAAUUAUUUGAAGCUUUAGUACAUUUGAUGUUGUAAUUGUGGAGUACUUGUAUUUUUUAUACAAUAUCUUUUAUGUUUAAUUUUUUAUAUUUCUAUCAAAUUUAUUACUCCGUACAACAUCAUA